This 460-nucleotide ribosomal RNA is filed under the name uncultured bacterium. RNAcentral's name for it is "partial 16S ribosomal RNA". It matches the Rfam family "Bacterial small subunit ribosomal RNA", at positions 338 to 795 of the family's 1533-position model. The record is from RNAcentral.
CCUACGGGCGGCAGCAGUGAGGAAUAUUGGUCAAUGGACGAGAGUCUGAACCAGCCAAGUAGCGUGAAGGAUGACUGCCCUAUGGGUUGUAAACUUCUUUUAUAUGGGAAUAAAAUGUUCCACGUGUGGGAUUUUGUAUGUACCAUAUGAAUAAGGAUCGGCUAACCUCGUGCCAGCAGCCGCGGUAAUACGGAGGAUCCGAGCGUUAUCCGGAUUUAUUGGGUUUAAAGGGAGCGUAGGGGGAUUGUUAAGUCAGUUGUGAAAGUUUGCGGCUCCACCGUAAAAUUGCAGUUGAAACUGGCAGUCUUGAGUACGGUAGAGGUGGGCGGAAUUCGUGGUGUAGCGGUGAAAUGCUUAGAUAUCACGCAGAACUCCGAUUGCGAAGGCAGUUCACUGGACUGCAACUGACACUGAGGCUCGAAAGUGUGGGUAUCAAACAGGAUUAGAUACCCCAGUAGUC